RNAcentral lists this ribosomal RNA (650 nucleotides) under uncultured bacterium. RNAcentral's name for it is "bacterial SSU rRNA". It matches the Rfam family "Bacterial small subunit ribosomal RNA", at positions 91 to 775 of the family's 1533-position model. The record is from RNAcentral.
CGGAGCGGCAGACGGGUGAGUGAACGCGUGGGAACGUACCUUUUGGUUCGGAACAACACAGGGAAAGUUGUGCUAAUACCGAAUAAGCCCUUAGGGGGAAAGAUUUAUCGCCGAAAGAUCGGCCCGCGUCUGAUUAGCUUGUUGGUGAGGGAAGGGCUCACCAGGGCGACGAUCAGUAGCUGGUCUGAGAGGAUGAUCGGCCGCGUUGGGACUGAGACACGGCCCAAACUCAUACGGGAGGCAGCAGUGGGGAAUAUUGGACAAUGGGCGCAAGCCUGAUCCAGCCAUGCCGCGUGAGUGAUGAAGGCCCUAGGGUUGUAAAGCUCUUUUGUGCGGGAAGAUAAUGACGGUACCGCAAGAAUAAGCCCCGGCUAACUUCGUGCCAGCAGCCGCGGUAAUACGAAGGGGGCUAGCGUUGCUCGGAAUCACUGGGCGUAAAGGGUGCGUAGGCGGGUCUUUAAGUCAGAGGUGAAAGCCUGGAGCUCAACUCCAGAACUGCCUUUGAUACUGAGGAUCUCGAGUUCGGGAGAGGUGAGUGGAACUGCGAGUGUAGAGGUGAAAUUCGUAGAUAUUCGCAAGAACACCAGUGGCGAAGGCGGCUCACUGGCCCGAUACUGACGCUGAGGCACGAAAGCGUGGGGAGCAAACAG